UUACUUACUGUAUGAAUCAUU
RNAcentral lists this non-coding RNA (21 nucleotides) under Caenorhabditis elegans. The record is from RNAcentral. Lineage: Eukaryota; Metazoa; Nematoda; Chromadorea; Rhabditida; Rhabditidae.